RNAcentral lists this transfer RNA (74 nucleotides) under Fonticula alba. It matches the Rfam family "tRNA". From Rfam's summary of the family: Transfer RNA (tRNA) molecules are approximately 80 nucleotides in length. Their secondary structure includes four short double-helical elements and three loops (D, anti-codon, and T loops). Further hydrogen bonds mediate the characteristic L-shaped molecular structure. tRNAs have two regions of fundamental functional importance: the anti-codon, which is responsible for specific mRNA codon recognition, and the 3' end, to which the tRNAs corresponding amino acid is attached (by aminoacyl-tRNA synthetases). tRNAs cope with the degeneracy of the genetic code in two manners: having more than one tRNA (with a specific anti-codon) for a particular amino acid; and 'wobble' base-pairing, i.e. permitting non-standard base-pairing at the 3rd anti-codon position. The record is from Rfam by way of RNAcentral. Lineage: Eukaryota; Rotosphaerida; Fonticulaceae.
GUCCGGAUGGUGUAGUCGGUUAUCACAUUCGCCUCACACGCGAAAGGUCCCCAGUUCGAACCUGGGUUCGGACA